Molecule: non-coding RNA, 335 nt
Organism: Salmo salar (Atlantic salmon)
Lineage: Eukaryota; Metazoa; Chordata; Actinopteri; Salmoniformes; Salmonidae
Source: RefSeq, a predicted model, not a curated record
GACAUUUCAACUCCAACAGAUAAAAUGCAAAUCGUGGAUAACGUUCAUUCUUGGCUAGAGUUCGCUCGCUAAACGUUAUAUUGGUUUAUCAUUUUCGUAUUUUUUGUUUACUCUCUUGACAAGCCCCGGGCCUGUACUUACUCCAGCUUUCCUCUCCUGCCUCCCCCCUCCGACUUACCCUGGUAGAGGUGAUGUCCAUCAUAACCUCCUGAAAAGCGGCAGUCUCUUCAGCCUGACGUUGGAUUUGACAGACUACAUCUUGACAACAUCUUGACAACAUCCGGGAACAGAUUACACAAGGUUUGUGAAAGGAAGGAACACAUAGGAGUCAACAA